This 278-nucleotide ribosomal RNA is filed under the name uncultured Rikenellaceae bacterium. Its description in RNAcentral is "partial 16S ribosomal RNA". It matches the Rfam family "Bacterial small subunit ribosomal RNA", at positions 511 to 788 of the family's 1533-position model. Lineage: Bacteria; Pseudomonadati; Bacteroidota; Bacteroidia; Bacteroidales; Rikenellaceae. The record is from RNAcentral.
GCAGCCGCGGUAAUACGGGGGAUGCGAGCGUUAUCCGGAUUUAUUGGGUUUAAAGGGUGCGUAGGCGGCCUGUUAAGUCAGCGGUGAAAUUCAGGGGCUCAACCUCUGCCGUGCCGUUGAUACUGGCAAGCUGGAAUGCGGAUGCCGUGGGAGGAAUGUGUGGUGUAGCGGUGAAAUGCAUAGAUAUCACACAGAACACCGAUUGCGAAGGCAUCUCACGAAUCCGCUAUUGACGCUGAUGCACGAAAGCGUGGGGAUCAAACAGGAUUAGAUACCCC